RNAcentral lists this ribosomal RNA (495 nucleotides) under uncultured bacterium. RNAcentral's name for it is "bacterial SSU rRNA". It matches the Rfam family "Bacterial small subunit ribosomal RNA", at positions 903 to 1397 of the family's 1533-position model. The record is from RNAcentral.
AAAGGAAUUGACGGGGACCCGCACAAGCGGUGGAGCAUGUUCUUUAAUACGACGCAACGCGUAGAACCUUACCAAGACUUGACAUGUAACUGCGAGGCGUAUGAAAGUACGCUGUCUUCGAGAGAGUUACACAGGUGUUGCAUGGCUGUCGUCAGCUCGUGUCGUGAGAUGUUGGGUUAAGUCCCGCAACGAGCGCAACCCUUGUUAUUAGUUGCCAGCAAGUAAAGUUGGGCACUCUAAUGAGACUGCCGGUGAUAAACCGGAGGAAGGUGGGGAUGACGUCAAGUCAGUACGGCCCUUACGUCUUGGGCUAGAAACGUGCUACAAUGGCGAAAACAAAGUGUUGCGAACUCGCGAGAGCCAGCCAAUCACAAAAAUUUCGUCUCAGUUCGGAUUGGAGUCUGCAAUUCGACUCCAUGAAGCCGGAAUCGCUAGUAAUGCCGUAUCAGCAACGACGGCGUGAAUACGUUCCCGGGUCUUGUACACACCGCCCGU